Molecule: long non-coding RNA, 495 nt
Organism: Passer domesticus (house sparrow)
Lineage: Eukaryota; Metazoa; Chordata; Aves; Passeriformes; Passeridae
Exons: 2
Source: RefSeq, a predicted model, not a curated record
GGACAGUGGAGACCAUGGAAUGAUGGAGUCCCUGAAUGGUUGGGCUUGGAAGGGAGCCUGAAGAAACCUCUUGUUCCAAGCUGAGCAAUCUUCCUCCAGAGCAGGCUGCUCAGAGCCCUGUUCCCAAGGAUGGGGUUUUUCUGUUGGAAAGGAAGCUUGGCACAAUGUCCAUUGUCUUCUCCAUUUGUGAAACACCAAGCGGAGUCUGGGCAGGCUGAUGAUGCAGAGCAAAACCUGAAAAUAUACUAGUGAUCCUGAGCCUAGGGGAUGCAGCUAAACCCAGCCAAAAGGAAUUUCUGAAAAGCUGAUCCUGGUUUACAUUAUCUUGAGUUUGGCUUCGCCAACUUCACCAGUCAUUUAUGAAAAAGCAAACAAAAAACUCAAGCCAAAUCAGACAUAAACCCAAACAAACAAACAAACAAACAAACAAACCCAUGCAGCAAACCAAUCAAACAAACAGAUAUAAAAACCCCAAAUAAAACCAAAGGAAAUGAA